GCUGCGGGUGGCGAGCACGGUCGCGCCGACCGGUGCGCGGCCGGUGAAGCCACCGGCGAUGCCCGCGCUGAUCACCGCGGCGUAGCGGCCC
Molecule: transfer RNA, 91 nt
Filed under: Actinoplanes sp. NBRC 101535
Lineage: Bacteria; Bacillati; Actinomycetota; Actinomycetes; Micromonosporales; Micromonosporaceae
Description: tRNA-Ala
Source: RNAcentral